Molecule: ribosomal RNA, 253 nt
Filed under: uncultured bacterium
Lineage: Bacteria
Description: partial 16S ribosomal RNA
Rfam family: Bacterial small subunit ribosomal RNA
Source: RNAcentral
UACAUGUGGGGCAAGCGUUGUUCGGAAUUACUGGGCAUAAAGGGUGCGUAGGCGGCGCGUCAAGUCACUGGUGAAAGUUUGCGGCCCAACCGUAAAAUUGCCGGCGAUACUGGCGUGCUCGAGUGCGUGAGGGGUUGGGGGAACGAGUGGUGUAGCGGUGAAAUGCGUAGAGAUCACUCGGAAGGCCAGAGCCGAAGGGGCCCAACUGGUACGCAACUGACGCUGAGACGCGAAAGCGUGGGGAGCGAACAGG